Molecule: non-coding RNA, 25 nt
Filed under: Rattus norvegicus (Norway rat)
Lineage: Eukaryota; Metazoa; Chordata; Mammalia; Rodentia; Muridae
Source: RNAcentral
UCUUUCAUAAUGCUGUGAGAUACUC